UGUAGUGUAGUUCAGUGGUAGAGUGCUUGUCUAGUAUUUGUGAAGCUCUGGGUUCAAUUCCCAGUACUUCAA
Molecule: transfer RNA, 72 nt
Filed under: Heterocephalus glaber (naked mole-rat)
Lineage: Eukaryota; Metazoa; Chordata; Mammalia; Rodentia; Bathyergidae
Rfam family: tRNA
About the family: Transfer RNA (tRNA) molecules are approximately 80 nucleotides in length. Their secondary structure includes four short double-helical elements and three loops (D, anti-codon, and T loops).
Source: Rfam by way of RNAcentral